AGAAAAAUGAGGGGAAUGGUUUCGGGGUUUUGCUCGCUUUCCAGGAAGGAUGUGUUCUCCAUCUUGUAGGUCUUCCUCCUCCAUGAGUUUAUUAUGAGCUUCUUGAGGAAGAAGACCAGCUCUUCAUCCUUCACGGUGCCAACGAUGUUUGUUGAAUUGAAGAAGAAAGAGCUAAAAGCCUAAGCCCCGUACAAGUCCCCAGACAAAAAGGUCAGAAACGUGGAACGAGGCUGUGCUUUAGCAGAUGUUAGCUUGUAACUGUCCACGUCAAACACUGGCCAUACCAGUGAGAUAAACAGAAAUUAGGAAACACUCACGGCUUCCCUCAUCUUCCUCAUGCCCAGUCCUCAAGCAGGAACCAAGGCAUCCUGAGUGAGGCUGACUGCACUUCCUCUGCUCCAUCCGCAUGCUCCCCUGACUCGGGCCAGACUGUUUCUCACCUGUCGAGUCCACUCUGGUUUCCCCUAGCCUUUCCUCCCUCUUGUACACCAUCCUCACUGCUGGCAGGGUCAUUAUUCUAGAACUUAGAUUUGACCGUAUUACCUCUGCUUAAGCCUUCGGACUCCCUGUUAGCUGAAAGAUAUCAUCUUUUCCACAUGGCAUCCGAGGUGCUCCAUGGUGGUGCCCAAAUCCGCCCUUCUAGACUCAACCCUGCCAUUUUCCUCCCAGGCCCCCUACAUCUCAACAACCCUGAACUCUCUCUCCCCCUCAAUACGUUGUUUCCUUCCUUGUCUUUGCGCAUGCUGGGCCCCUCUGCCCGGAAAACUGCUCCCCCUUCUCCACACAUACAUGUUCUCUACACACUUUUCUAUAUCCAGCCCAAAUAGCUCUCUGUGCAACACAGUGGAGUUAAUUGUUGCCACCAAGGCCUCAUAGAUCUGUCUGGGUAGCCAUUAAGCUGUGUGUUCAUUUACAGAACCCAAAGAACAUAGGACGAUGUCUUUUACUUCUUUGAUCUCCAACACCUAUCCUCUACUGGGUGCUCAAGAAAUGUUGAAUAAAUAAAGGAAUAAAGUCUAGGUCUUUGUGAGUCAGGUUGGUGGAACAGGCCUUCCUAUCUGUCUAGGCUUUUGUUUCUUCCCUUAACUACAAGACUGUGUAUUUAGCCUUUCUUCAUGACAAGCUGUUCUCGUUAGAGAAGAGUUAUAUUAUUCUAGCUUUCAGUCACCCACUGGCUGAUGGGUUAUCCAAUGGAAACUCUGUUGCCCGUCUACUAUGUGGAUAAGAAUUGCAAAUGAAAGCAGCUUAGUGUGCUGAAAACAAGAUCUUAAGUACAUUCGAAGGGCAAAUAAACAAAUGGGGAAUGUAUGCCAUGGGUAUUAUAUGUGAUUGCUUUAAUGUCAUUUUGCUGAUAAUUUAUGCAGUGCCCUUCUCUAGUCGACCCCUUAAGUGCAAAUAAUUGAGGGUUGUCAAAACAUUUUCAGUAGCUCUGACCUUUGCACAUAUACAGUGAGUAAGAAGGUGUAGAAAAAUUACUGAAAUUACUGGCCUUCAAAAAGGGGAAAGGUUCACUCCUGAAUUGCUUAAGAAAUGACAAAAUGAGUUCAUGUAAAGCUUGAUAGGGAACAGGAAGUUAAAAAAAAAAAAAACUGUGAUAAGGAAAGAGAAAUGCUGACCCAGAAAAGAUGAUCUGAAAAUGCAGAGGGAAACUUUUUUGACACAGAUGUAAUGUAAGAUCAUUGCUCUGAGGUGUUUUUUUUUUUUUUUUUUUUUUUGAGAUAGGGCUAUAAAAGUGAGAAUUGAACUCAUGAUUCUGUAAGACAAGCAUGUCUGAUGAGCGGGGGGAAAUGGUUAUUCACUCUACUGGAAUUGCUUUAAUGGAAACUUCUUGAUGAGAGUUGUGUCUUAAAAUACUCAUCCAGUGAUGAGGAGUUAUUUCAAGAUGUGAAGUCAAGGAGGUGGUUGCAGUGAGGUUCGUGUGUGAAGCACGCCAUGUCUUCAGGAUGCCGAGUGGAGCCAGAUGAACAGGGUGCCAACAACUGUUCCCACUGGCCUUUUUGGACAGCUGGUUCCCAUCCCAGGGACAUACUGGCAGCCAUCAGCAACUAGUAAAUCUAUGAAUGCCGCCCAAGCAAAAGGGCGGGGUGAGGCCUCGAGCUCCUUCCUUUCUCCUUGGUAAUCCCCAUCUGCCCAGCAGAGUCCUUCCCUCUGGCUCAGCCGUCCUAAACUCUUCUCCGUUCUCGCUCUCUACUACAACAGUAGACAAGGCCCCCAGUAGACCUCCGGGCCUCCAGCCCGCUUUCUGUGCCCAUGAAAACCAACAGCUUUUGAAGUGCAACUCUCAAGAGAGGAGAAAUUAAAUUUCAACUGUCCAAUUCGGCUGUCCCUGUUCCGGUGCGUCAUUCAAGACCCAGGUCAAUGUCACCUCCUCUGAUGCUUCUUCCAGUUCUCCCAGGCAGCAAGACACUACUUCUCCUGUGUUAAUACGUUUCUGUACAUGCCUCUACUUUCAUAGACUCCUAUCGCUACUAUGGUAAUCUGGUUGCACACCUUGGGUGCCCUUAAAGUCAAAGACUCCAAGUCUCCAUUCCCCCAAGCCUAGCACAAGGCUUCUCAGUAUGUGCUUGUGGAAUGAAUGUCCAUAUGAAUAUACUUCCGAAUGAAGAGCAACCGUGGGCAGAUUUUGUCUGUUGACAUCCUUUUGAAGACAAGAGCCAAACAUGUUGAAUGGCAGCCAUUGCCCAUGUGAAACUUGAAUUUGGGCUGAGGUUUGGUGCAAGGUGCCUGAGCCACAUAAACAAGCAAACUGGAGGGCUGGGAUUGCUUUCCAGUAACUUAUCAGUGACAUACUUGGGGAUGUGAACACUCCCCUUUCCAAAGUCAAUACCCAGUCCUUGCCAGACGUCUUCUCCUGAAGCACUUAUUAAACGGGGCGCCACGGAGCUCCAGAAAUAAAGGAGCUUGAAGAAAGCA
This is a long non-coding RNA of Herpailurus yagouaroundi (jaguarundi), 2913 nucleotides long. RefSeq lists it as uncharacterized. The record is from RefSeq and is a predicted model, not a curated record. The transcript has 2 exons. NCBI's taxonomy places the organism in Eukaryota, Metazoa, Chordata, Mammalia, Carnivora, Felidae.